Molecule: ribosomal RNA, 468 nt
Filed under: uncultured bacterium
Lineage: Bacteria
Description: partial 16S ribosomal RNA
Rfam family: Bacterial small subunit ribosomal RNA
Source: RNAcentral
GACGAACGCUGGCGGCGUGCUUAACACAUGCAAGUCGAACGGAAAGACCCUGCUUUUGUGGGGUGCUCGAGUGGCGAACGGGUGAGUAACACGUGAGUAACCUGCCCUUGACUUUGGGAUAACUUCAGGAAACUGGGGCUAAUACCGGAUAGGAGCUCCUGCUGCAUGGUGGGGGUUGGAAAGUUUCGGCGGUUGGGGAUGGACUCGCGGCUUAUCAGCUUGUUGGUGGGGUAGUGGCUUACCAAGGCUUUGACGGGUAGCCGGCCUGAGAGGGUGACCGGCCACAUGGGGACUGAGAUACGGCGCAGACUCCUACGGGAGGCAGCAGGGGGGAAUAUUGCACAAUGGGCGGAAGCCUGAUGCAGCAACGCCGCGUGCGGGAUGACGGCCUUCGGGGUGUAAACCGCUUUCGCCUGUGACGAAGCGUGAGUGACGGUAAUGGGUAAAGAAGCACCGGCUAACUACGUG